This 448-nucleotide ribosomal RNA is filed under the name uncultured bacterium. Its description in RNAcentral is "SSU rRNA". It matches the Rfam family "Bacterial small subunit ribosomal RNA", at positions 26 to 518 of the family's 1533-position model. The record is from RNAcentral.
AGAACGAACGCUGGCGGCAGGCUUAACACAUGCAAGUCGAACGGGUGUAGCAAUACACCAGUGGCAGACGGGUGAGUAACACGUGGGAACCUUCCUCGUAGUACGGAACAACUCAGGGAAACUUGUGCUAAAUACCGUAUACGUCCGAGAGGAGAAAGAUUUAUCGCUAUGAGACGGGCCCGCGUCGGAUUAGGUAGUUGGUGGGGUAACGGCCUACCAAGCCUACGAUCCGUAGCUGAUCUGAGAGGAUGAUCAGCCACACUGGGACUGAGACACGGCCCAGACUCCUACGGGAGACAGCAGUGGGGAAUCUUGGACAAUGGGCGCAAGCCUGAUCCAGCCAUGCCGCGUGAGUGAAGAAGGCCUUAGGGUUGUAAAGCUCUUUUGGCAGGGACGAUAAUGACGGUACCUGCAGAAUAAGCCCGGCAAACUUCGUGCCAGCAGCCGC